Molecule: long non-coding RNA, 1534 nt
Filed under: Serinus canaria (Common canary)
Lineage: Eukaryota; Metazoa; Chordata; Aves; Passeriformes; Fringillidae
Description: lncRNA (ENSSCAG00000006960.1)
Source: RNAcentral
AUGAAUAAAUUUAUUUAUGGAUUCUUUUUACCGCCUGGAUUGUCCCCAAAAAUCGGGGGUGACAACCCUGGGGUGGCACUGAGGGGACAUCGGGGGGUCCCCACCUGCAAACCCUCCCCCAAAUUUAACCCCAGAACCCCCAAAAAUUUGCCCCAGAAACUCCAAAAUUUGCUGAAAAUCCCCCCAAAUUUGCCCCAAACCCCCAAAUUUAUCCCCAGAACCCCCCAAAAUUUGCUGAAGAUCCCCCAAAAUUUGUCUUGGAGUCCCCCAAAUUUAACCCCAGAAGCCCCAGAUUUGCCCCAGGGUGUGGGGACUCAAAACUCUGCACCCCAAAUUCUGCACCCCAAAUUCUGCACCCCAAACUCUGCACCCCAAAAUUCUGCACCCCAAAUUCUGCCCCCCACAUUUCCCACCCCAAAUUCUGCACCUGGGGCAAUUUUUGGGGGGAAUCUGGGGCAGAUUUUGGGGAUCACAGGGUUAAAUUUGGGGGGACUCUGGGGCAAUUUUCGGGGUCUCGGGCAAGUUUGGGGGUGAUGGGGCAAAUUUUAGGACUUGGGGGAAAAUUUAGGGGGGAUCUGGGGCAAAUUUGGGGUCUCUGGGUCAAAAUUUGGCUGUGGCAAAUCUGGGGUGCCGAAUUUGGGGUCCUUGACUGUUAUGUGUCCCCAUGUCCCCUCUGUUGUCCCCAUGUCCCUUAUGGUGUCCCCAUGCCCCCUCUGAUGUCCCCAUGUCCCCAUGGUGUCCCCCAUGAGCCCUGUGGUGUCCCCAUGUCCCCUCUGAUGUCCCCAUGUCCCCUCUGGUAUCCCCAUGUCCCUUAUCAUGUCCCCAUGUCUCUUAUGGUGUCCCCACGUCCCUUGCGAUGUCCCCAUGUCCCUUGUGAGUGUCCCCCCAUCCCCUACAGAUUCCCCACGUCCCCUCUGAAGCCCCCAUGUCCCCUGUGGUGUCCCCACGUCCCCUCUGAAGUCCCCAUGUCCCCUCUGAAAUCCCCAUGUCCCCUCUGAGGUCCCCAUGACCCCUCUGAUGUCCCUGUGUCCCCUCUGGUGUCCCCAUGUCCCUUAUGGUGUCCCCAUGUCCCCUCUGGUGUCCCCAUGUCCCCUCUGAUGUCCCCAUGUCACCUCUGAUGUCCCCAUGUCCCUUAUGGUGUCCCCAUGAUACCCAUGGUGUCCCCAUGCCCCCUCUGAUGUCCCCAUGCCCCCUCUGAUGUCCCUAUGUCCCCUGUGGUGUCCCCAUGCCCCCUCUGAUGUCCCCAUGCCCCCUGUGGUGUCCCCAUGUCCAUUAUGGUGUCCCCAUGACCCCUCUGAUGUCCCCAUGUCCCCUCUGGUGUCCCCAUGUCCCCUGUGGUAUCCCCAUGUCCCCUCUGAUGUCCCCAUGUCCCCCAUGGUGUCCCCAUGUCCCCUCUGGUGUCCCCAUGUCCCUUAUGGUGUCCCCAUGUCCCCUGUGAUGUCCCCACUGCCCCCACACGUCCCCCCCUCCAAGGACACCAAGGCCAAUUGCUCAGAAAUGACUUUUUUAACCAAAAAAACCCCAAAAAACCCAA